Molecule: long non-coding RNA, 4809 nt
Organism: Sarcophilus harrisii (Tasmanian devil)
Lineage: Eukaryota; Metazoa; Chordata; Mammalia; Dasyuromorphia; Dasyuridae
Source: Ensembl
GACCAGGAAAAAAAAAAAAGGUGGGGUGGGGAGACUUGGCAGAGGAAAUCUUAUGGGUAUAGGGGAACUGCAGAUCUCUGAAUUCCGAAACAAGAGCUAGAGCUGAAAUGUGAUUCUCUAGUGCCUGGCGUAGCUAGCAUCUUGCCGGGUACAAUUGUGCAGGAUGCUCAGUGGAGCCCUUUGGAUCGCACAAUGAACUUGGGGGGACCGUGCAGCCGAGCAAGCCAGUAAGGCACCUGGAAGUUUGGCUAGGGAGGAUUUCGAGGGGGGUUUUCUGAUGCUUAGGAGAAUCCUGCCUGCUUUCAGCUGUGUGGAGGAGGACUUCAGUUUCCCCAUGAGGGGCCCACUUGGAAAAGCCGUCUGUGCAGACUCCCGACUGAGCUGCUGUGUUUGUUAUUUAGCAAAAACCUUUCUCACCUUUGCUGAUUUUGUUCAUGCGAUUUACACCUACUGAGCCGCGGGAAGGAUUUUAGGAUGGAUUGUCUGUGCAUUGUCACCACCAAGCAGAACCAGGGGAAAUGUCCAUCCCAGAACUGUUCAGUGGAACCCCCUGCCUGGAUGCCUGUCCACCACUGUACUGUAAGUCUGAGAUUUUUGAUUCCCAGUUUGGUGUGGCAAAAAGCUGAGAGUUCUCAGCACCUUCUUGGUGACUUUUUAAGAUUCUGUAAGAGGAAUGAAGCUUUGGAGAGGAGAAUACAUAUAUUAUGAGAAGAUAAUGUAUCAUAUUUUUCUAUAAUAGUGAAUCCUGUGAUUUUUUGAAACAGAGGAACAGGAGCAGGGCUCCUAAAUGGACUAUUGAUGAGUUGAAUUUGGAUGAUCAUUAAAAUGGAUGGUUGUUGUUUUAUUCCCCCCCUUAUUGCCUGCAUAUCAGCAAUAUUUGAUAUCAGAGACAAGCAGAGGGGAACUUCACUGUCAUUUCUCCUUUUGACAGGCUAAUAGUGAUGAGUACACUGAUUUGCAAUUUUCAAGUCUUCCUGGUUUAAUAAUAGUCUUACCAGCUCUGCAUUUGUGUAUAGUCUCUCAUCAGAGGAUCUGGAAGUGCCUUAGAAACAAAUAGGUACCAUGUUAUUAUCCCUGUUUUACAGAUGGGGAGCCUAAAGACAAAGGAAGUCAGAGGCCUUCCCAGGGUGGAACAGUAUGUCAAAGACAGAGCCAGGAAUAGAUACCAGAUGUCCCACCUCUCUGUUCCUCCCUAACUUGUUCUUCUACAGAGAGCUGAGGAGCAGGUGGAGAAAGUGUCUGAAUGGCUCACUUCUCUCUGAUUGCUUGUGGAAGUCAAAGUUAAAUGUGUUGAUUGGACAGCAGGGAUUUAUUCCUUUGGCAUCAGAAUUGUGUUUUUGGUAAACUACUUGUAUUCUAUGAAUUGUGUUGUUUGUGAUUCAAAGUAUCAUAUUCUAGAAUUUCAUGCUUGUGGGCUUCUGGCCUUUCAACUUCUAUACAAGUCAGAGAAUGUGGACUGAUACUUAUUCAGUAUGGUCACUGGGUAGUCCAUGAAUAGUUCUUACUGUAUACUACUUUGGGGUUUUGAAAUGUAUUUUGGGUGUAACUCUGGCUUUGCGCCAAGAAUCUAAAGCAGCAUCAAUGGAAGAAAGUUAAGGGCAUUGGAUUUUAGUUUUUUUACCCUCAUUGAUGCCCUUUGCUGUAUAGUUACCUCCUCGUCAGUACCAUUCACAGAGCUCCCCUUAAAUUUUAAUUUAAUUUUGAUGGGUUUUGGUGUAAAUCUUUUUAAAUUUAGUUGUUCUCUCUCUGAGUGUGUUUGGAUCUCCUUUUUCCUUCUUGACUCAAUUUUUACCAAUUGAGAAGUCAAAUUUAAGUCUAAGGUGGGAGUUGGAUGGAGCAGAGGAGGAAAGAUUGGUCCAGCUGUAAGAAGAUGAGAACUUGAUGUGACCAUAAUAUUCAGAUAUAUAUUGUCUUAUAAUUUUAAGAAACCAAGACUUUUCUGAUUAUUGACAUGCAUAUGGUAUCAUACAAAGGAACAUCAAACAAUCCUAAGCACUGUCAAUGUGCAUCACCAUUUUAAUGAGAACUUCAAACUCUCUCACUCAUUGGAGAUGUUCAGAAAAAUGACAGAUAACCACAUAGAGUGUGUUAAAGUAGGGAUUAUUUUAUAGAUAUGGGUUGGAAUCAAUGUGUGCUAAUGACUUUGGUAACUCUGAAAUUCUGUGAUAUUCUGAAAUCUUUCUAUUUGCCAUUUUUUACAAUGUUGUGUGGUGAACAAUAUGAUGAACACCUCCAGGGAAUUUUAGGUGAAAGAGCAAUCAAGAUGGGGAAGAGAAGGAUUUCUUAGAGAAUAUACUUCCGGAGACUUUCUGAACACAUAGGAGAGUAUAAAUGGGAGAGAGUGGAAGGGGGAGGGAAGAGGCAUUUUGGAUAUAAAGGAUGACAUAUUUUAAGGUAUAAAAAGAUGAGAAUGAACAAGGAAGGAAACAAUGUAGUAGGAUAGAAAAAGCAAUGAAAUGGGACUUGGGGAUUUGCCCUUGCUGUGCAAUUAUAAGCUGUAUCAUCUCUCUGGUAAACCUCAAUUCAUUUUUUGUUAAAAAUGUAAAUUGGACUAAAUGAGCUUUAAGGUCCCCUUUUAGGUCUAAUGUUCUUUCAUACUUUUGUGUGUAAAUAGCACGAAAGUAUCAUCCAUCUAUUUAUUUCUCCAUCCGUCCAACCAUCCAUCCAAAGACAUUUGUUUAAUAUCUACUUGUGACUUUCAUUCAUUAUUUAUAGUUUUGCUCUGAAGUAAAGCUGAGCAAAUUUAAUUUUGUUCCCAUAUGACUACCCUACAAAUGCUUAUGGUAAUUUUAGGGAUAUCAAUAAGAGCAGCAUUGAUGAUGAUGAUGAUGAUAAUGACAAUAAUGACAACUGUAACAAUUAGCAUUUAUUCAACACAUUAAAGUUUUAGAACCCUCUACAUAUGUCAUAUCAUUUGAUCCUCACAAUAGCCCUGGAAGUCAGAUGCUAUUAUUAUCUCCAUGUUAUAGAUGAGGCAACAAAGGCUGAGAGGUAACAAAUGACCAGGCCAAAGUCAGACAGUUUUUAAGUGUCAGAGGUAGGAUGCAAUCUCAAGUUUUCCUAACUUCAAAUUCAAUACUAUAAUGCAUCACAUAGCUGCCUUUUUCCUAAGGGACCCAAUUCUACAUGUACAUGGGUAUUCUUACAAUCAUUACCAGACUUCUUAUGAGUUAUGUCAUGUCAUGACAUAAUUGGUACAGUGAAUAGAGUGCUGGACUUGGAUCUAGGAAGACCUAAGUUCAAAGAGAAUAAUAGACACUUAGUGUGACCUUGGGCAAGACAUUUAAUCUUUGCCUCAGUUUCUCUGUCUGUAAAAUGGGGAUAAUGAUAGCAUCUUUAUUCCAAUGUUGCUGUGAGUUGAUAUUUGCAAAGUGCUUAGCACACUGCCUGAUACAUUGUAAGCACUGUAUAUAAAUGUGUUGGUGCUGCUGCUGCUGCUGAUGAUAAUCAUGAUGAUAGUGUCUCUCUCUUAUUAGAGUAUUCCAUUUGUUUGGCAAGUUAUACAGGUGGAAUUCUUUUGAACAUCAAGUUUGGAUUAAAUCAGCCUCUGAGAUCAGUUCUAACUUUGAGAUUCAAUGAUUUUGGUCUUCUACAGGAAGAUUGCUUCAGAAAGUCUUCCAGAAAUACUUUUUCUAGGGAAGCUUCGAGGAAGUGGACAUAUGGGAUACAGUAACAAUAGUGAGCAGUGAUAUCUCCAAGUAUGGCUUUCAGUAUAUUCCAAAGUCAUUUUUCUUUUAGCUCAUUCAUAUCAUUUUUAACAUUUCCCACCAUGUGCUUCAUAUAAUGAAAGUUACAUCUUUUUUUGCUAAAAUGGGAAAAUCAUAAAAACAGAGGCUUCUAAAAGAAAAUCAGACUGAAGGGUCUUUAGUAGUUCUCAUUGUUUCAAAGUAUUCUUCCAAAUAGGUUCAUAUUACUAAGGUAAAAACCAAGGCCGUUGCAGCAUUGCCAGCUGGUAUAGUGUGCUCAUGGUCAUUGUCUUGAUCAUUCUGUUAAUUUUUUUAAAACAUCAUCUGUGCCCAAAGUAUAAUAUACUGUGUACAAAACCCACAGCUACCCAUAGCUCUUGCUCACCCUGUAGAGGCCUGAAUUUUAAUGGGGACUUGACAUAAAAGCAAUCAUGUUGUGUCUGCCUGUCUCUUUGCUUCCCCUGUGAACAUCAGGCUCAUUGAGCUUACUAUGCAUUGGUGCUCUUAUCCUUAAAUUAUUGUUUCCUAAUUUACUUUUCUAAUUAUUGAACUAAGGUUCUCAUAUUAUUGAAUAACAUUCUCACACCACUAACAUUAGCAAUGUAAAACUAAGGAUAUAAUAUGUUUAGAUGAUCAUAUUUAGAGGGAUGCUGAAAAUUGCAUAGUCUGAGGUCCUAAAUUGAUAUCUUUCUACAAUUAUAGUCCAUCUGGCCUCACAGGUUUUAGCACAUAGGUAGGGUGUAUGUUGUGAAUUGUGUGGUAUAAUGGAAAGAGUUCUCCUACUCUGUGACUCUGGUCAAUCUUGUCCCCUUUGAGACUCAAUUCUUUUCUCCAUAAAUAGGAACAACUAUUAUCUCAUAGGGUUGUUGUGAGGAAAGUAUUUUUUAACUGGAAGACUAAUAGAAAUGUGUGUGUAGGAGUGUGUGUGUGUGUGUGUGUGUGUGUGUGUGUGUGUGUGAGAGAGAGAGAGAGAGAGAGAGAGAGAGAGAGAGAGAAACAUAAAGAGAAGAAAGAUAAAAGAGAAAGGGGGGGGGCGGAGCCAAGAUGGCGGAGAAGUCACACGCGACUUUCUAAGCUCUUCUCUUACCCUCUUUAUCAAUAUUAUAUCGAGCCUCAAAAAUAG